RNAcentral lists this ribosomal RNA (475 nucleotides) under uncultured Gammaproteobacteria bacterium. RNAcentral describes it as "bacterial SSU rRNA". It matches the Rfam family "Bacterial small subunit ribosomal RNA", at positions 9 to 477 of the family's 1533-position model. Lineage: Bacteria; Pseudomonadati; Pseudomonadota; Gammaproteobacteria. The record is from RNAcentral.
GAGUUUGAUCGUGGCUCAGAUUGAACGCUGGCGGCACGCCUAACACAUGCAAGUCGAGCGGUAACAUGCUUAGUAGCAAUACUAAGUGAUGACGAGCGGCGGACGGGUGAGGAACACGUAGGAAUCUACCUAGUAGAGGGGGAUAACCAGGGGAAACUUUGGCUAAUACCGCGUAAUCUCGAAAGAGCAAAGCUGCAGCAAUGUGGCGCUAUUAGAGGAGCCUGCGUCCGAUUAGCUAGUUGGUAGGGUAAAAGCCUACCAAGGCGAUGAUCGGUAACUGGUCUGAGAGGACGACCAGUCACACUGGGACUGAGACACGGCCCAGACUCCUACGGGAGGCAGCAGUGGGGAAUCUUGGACAAUGGGGGCAACCCUGAUCCAGCGACGCCGCGUGUGUGAAGAAGGCCUGCGGGUUGUAAAGCACUUUUAGUGGGGAUGAAAAGCCAACGGCUAAUACCUGUUGGUCUUGACCUAA